RNAcentral lists this ribosomal RNA (448 nucleotides) under Streptococcus gordonii. RNAcentral's name for it is "bacterial SSU rRNA". It matches the Rfam family "Bacterial small subunit ribosomal RNA", at positions 28 to 460 of the family's 1533-position model. The record is from RNAcentral. Lineage: Bacteria; Bacillati; Bacillota; Bacilli; Lactobacillales; Streptococcaceae.
GACGAACGCUGGCGGCGUGCCUAAUACAUGCAAGUAGAACGCACAGUUUAUACCGUAGCUUGCUCCCAUAGACUGUGAGUUGCGAACGGGUGAGUAACGCGUAGGUAACCUGCCUGGUAGCGGGGGAUAACUAUUGGAAACGAUAGCUAAUACCGCAUAAUAUUAAUUAUUGCAUGAUAAUUAAUUGAAAGGUGCAAUUGCACCACUACCAGAUGGACCUGCGUUGUAUUAGCUAGUAGGUGAGGUAACGGCUCACCUAGGCGACGAUACAUAGCCGACCUGAGAGGGUGAUCGGCCACACUGGGACUGAGACACGGCCCAGACUCCUACGGGAGGCAGCAGUAGGGAAUCUUCGGCAAUGGACGAAAGUCUGACCGAGCAACGCCGCGUGAGUGAAGAAGGUUUUCGGAUCGUAAAGCUCUGUUGUAAGAGAAGAACGGGUGUGAGA